RNAcentral lists this long non-coding RNA (510 nucleotides) under Cavia porcellus (domestic guinea pig). RNAcentral describes it as "lncRNA (ENSCPOG00000038254.1)". Lineage: Eukaryota; Metazoa; Chordata; Mammalia; Rodentia; Caviidae. The record is from RNAcentral.
GGACAAUGGAGGCCGAAGUCACCAGCGCUUCUGCUUCCGGUUUGUCUCCGGAGUCAUGGCGACCACAAGGGGACUGACAUUAAGUAGAUGGCGCCGGAGCCGUCGAGUGGAUCCCCAACAUCGUGUAAGUGUCUGUUUCCUCUGCUCUCCGGUGACAGGGUGUGGGGAGAUACUUAUGCAUCUCCUCCUCUGGGGAAGUGCCUGCGUCCGUCCUUUCUGCCUGACAGACCGCUUUUUUCCCAGCCUCCAGGUCUCACUGCCCUCAUUCCCAGCGUGACCCACGUAAUAACAAGUCCGAUUUUCUGGGGAAGAAGCCCCACCGGCAGCACCCUGGCAUCGUGCAGCUUCCGCACGUGCGGCUGCCACAGAGAGCACGGUGUCCAGUGUAGAGGAGAAGGGACUCACCUCCAGUCCUCCUUCUCACUCCAGGCUCACCUCAGACAGAGAAGAAACUCCUCAGAGCUGUGCCAUGUGCCCUGCACAGAGUCACUGACAGGAACUGAGCUAUAA